AGUAAUGACUUCUAUAUAAAACCCAGAAUGUGCUGCGAGGAGUCCAGGUAUAGUGUGGGCUCCUCACCUUGUGUUGCAGGUUCGGAUUUCACUAAAUGACAGCGAAGCGGCGCGGUACCGUACUGCGGUCAGCCUCCGGUGACGACCUCAGUUCCUGCUCAAGUGAAAAAGCUGAUCUGCAAACCUUGGGCCACGCGGCGAAGCUCCGGAGCACCGUUUGAAAGAGCAGCUGGAAGUGUCUCUCGAGGGUUCCGGCGCCUGUCCGGACGCUCGGGCGCAGGGGGCGCUCCGACAGCCACCCGGCACCGGGCCGCAGGCCUCCCUAGCCGAACGCACGGGGGCAGGAGAAGGGGCGGUUCUCCCGUGGCCUGAGAACGUCUCCAAACGGCAGCGUCCCCCGCCUGGACAACGUGUUUGUCCUUAAUUGACCUCAGAAGACAAUCAGGAACAAUGAGCACAACCUCUGAGUUGAGAGAACGUGAGCCUCAGCGCUCAACACCUACACCUUUCCUCUUUCUCUCUCUCUCACACACACACACCUCCCCAAACUGACAAACAAGAUCAAAUGUAUUGAAUAACAUCAUUUGCAUCCCAGCCCGCGCUGCCAAGAACAAAAGCCGUAAAUCACUCGCCGCUCUUGUCACACACGUUCAUACGCAAACCUGGAAGCGGCUCCACAUUUUCAUCGUACACGUCCAGGACGUCCAGCCAAGCUCACGUUAGCAGGAGGACAUCUGAGCUGUUCUGGGGGGAACAUUUCUUUUAACAUGUGACUUCAAGUGAAUUCUGCCCAAAGCUGCGCGACACUCACUGCCCGUCCCCUAGAGGGCGCCGGGAGGACAGGGCUUCGCACUCGAGGAAGGCUGGAGAGCUUUUCUUCGCUUUCACCUUUUGUAGGCCACAAGCCCUUUCCACACCAUGCCACAUUGGGAUGGGGGAGUUGGCCUCUCCUAUACAGCCGAUAAUACAGAAACUGUUUCCCUCCCCCUUCCUGGAUCAGGGCCUUGGCAUUGCAGAAGGGCUUGCGUGAUGUAGGGAUCUCCAGA
This 1046-nucleotide long non-coding RNA is filed under the name Scleropages formosus (Asian bonytongue). RNAcentral's name for it is "lncRNA (ENSSFOG00015031271.1)". The record is from RNAcentral. Lineage: Eukaryota; Metazoa; Chordata; Actinopteri; Osteoglossiformes; Osteoglossidae.